UCCCUUGUGGCUCAGCUGGUAAAGCAUCCAUCUGCAAGGUGGGAGACCUGGGUUCGAUCCCUGGGUUGGGAA
Molecule: non-coding RNA, 72 nt
Organism: Bos taurus (domestic cattle)
Lineage: Eukaryota; Metazoa; Chordata; Mammalia; Artiodactyla; Bovidae
Source: Rfam